RNAcentral lists this transfer RNA (51 nucleotides) under Mesopedinella arctica. Its description in RNAcentral is "partial tRNA". The record is from RNAcentral. Lineage: Eukaryota; Dictyochophyceae; Pedinellales.
GGAAAGGCGGAGUCUUACCUACGGCAUGGGUGGCGGCAGAACGUUGAAUGG